RNAcentral lists this ribosomal RNA (445 nucleotides) under uncultured bacterium. RNAcentral's name for it is "bacterial SSU rRNA". It matches the Rfam family "Bacterial small subunit ribosomal RNA", at positions 330 to 792 of the family's 1533-position model. The record is from RNAcentral.
CCCAGACUCCUACGGGAGGCAGCAGUGGGGAAUAUUGCACAAUGGGGGAAACCCUGAUGCAGCGACGCCGCGUGAGUGAAGAAGUAUUUCGGUAUGUAAAGCUCUAUCAGCAGGGAAGAAAAUGACGGUACCUGACUAAGAAGCCCCGGCUAACUACGUGCCAGCAGCCGCGGUAAUACGUAGGGGGCAAGCGUUAUCCGGAUUUACUGGGUGUAAAGGGAGCGUAGACGGCAUGGCAAGUCAGAUGUGAAAGCCCGGGGCUCAACCCCGGGACUGCAUUUGAAACUGUCAGGCUGGAGUGCAGGAGAGGUAAGUGGAAUUCCUAGUGUAGCGGUGAAAUGCGUAGAUAUACGGAGGAACACCGGUGGCGAAGGCGGAUUGCUGGACAGUAACUGACGCUGAGGCGCGAAAGCGUGGGGAGCAAACAGGAUUAGAUACCCGCGUA